UCGACGCAGUAGCAAUACUGAGUGGCAGACGGGUGAGUAUAAUGUGGGAAUCUGCCUUUUGGUUCGGAAUAACACGAGGAAACUUGUGCUAAUACCGGAUAAGCCUUCACAGGGAAGGUUUUAAUGCCAAAAGAUGAGCCCGCACUUGAUUAGCUAGUUGGUAAGGUAAUAGCUUACCAAGGCAACGAUCAAUAGCUGUUCUUAGAGGAAGACCAGCCACAUUGGGACUGAGACACGGCCCAAACUCCUACGGGAGGCAGCAGUGGGGAAUCUUGCACAAUGGGGGCAACCCUGAUGCAGCGAUGCCGCGUGAGUGAAGAAGGCCUUUGGGUUGUAAAACUCUUUCGUCGGGGAAGAAAAUGACUGUACCCGAAUAAGAAGGUCCGGCUAACUUCGUGCCAGCAGCCGCGGUAAUACGAAGGGACCUAGCGUAGUUCGGAAUUACUGGGCUUAAAGAGUUCGUAGGUGGUUAAAAAAGUUGAUGGUGAAAUCCCAAGGCUCAACCUUGGAACUGCCAUCAAAACUUUUUAGCUAGAGUAUGAUAGAGGAAAGUGGAAUUUCUAGUGUAGAGGUGAAAUUCGUAGAUAUUAGAAAGAACAUCAAAAGCGAAGGCAACUUUCUGGAUCAUUACUGACACUGAGGAACGAAAGCAUGGGUAGCGAAGAGGAUUAGAUACCCUCGUAGUCCAUGCUGUAAACGAUGUGUGCUAGACGUUGGAAACUUAGUUUUCAGUGU
RNAcentral lists this ribosomal RNA (735 nucleotides) under uncultured bacterium. RNAcentral's name for it is "bacterial SSU rRNA". It matches the Rfam family "Bacterial small subunit ribosomal RNA", at positions 62 to 846 of the family's 1533-position model. The record is from RNAcentral.